This 2925-nucleotide ribosomal RNA is filed under the name Escherichia coli. RNAcentral's name for it is "23S ribosomal RNA". It matches the Rfam family "Bacterial large subunit ribosomal RNA". The record is from RNAcentral. Lineage: Bacteria; Pseudomonadati; Pseudomonadota; Gammaproteobacteria; Enterobacterales; Enterobacteriaceae.
GGGUUGUGAGGUUAAGCGACUAAGCGUACACGGUGGAUGCCCUGGCAGUCAGAGGCGAUGAAGGACGUGCUAAUCUGCGAUAAGCGUCGGUAAGGUGAUAUGAACCGUUAUAACCGGCGAUUUCCGAAUGGGGAAACCCAGUGUGUUUCGACACACUAUCAUUAACUGAAUCCAUAGGUUAAUGAGGCGAACCGGGGGAACUGAAACAUCUAAGUACCCCGAGGAAAAGAAAUCAACCGAGAUUCCCCCAGUAGCGGCGAGCGAACGGGGAGCAGCCCAGAGCCUGAAUCAGUGUGUGUGUUAGUGGAAGCGUCUGGAAAGGCGCGCGAUACAGGGUGACAGCCCCGUACACAAAAAUGCACAUGCUGUGAGCUCGAUGAGUAGGGCGGGACACGUGGUAUCCUGUCUGAAUAUGGGGGGACCAUCCUCCAAGGCUAAAUACUCCUGACUGACCGAUAGUGAACCAGUACCGUGAGGGAAAGGCGAAAAGAACCCCGGCGAGGGGAGUGAAAAAGAACCUGAAACCGUGUACGUACAAGCAGUGGGAGCCUCUUUUAUGGGGUGACUGCGUACCUUUUGUAUAAUGGGUCAGCGACUUAUAUUCUGUAGCAAGGUUAACCGAAUAGGGGAGCCGAAGGGAAACCGAGUCUUAACUGGGCGUUAAGUUGCAGGGUAUAGACCCGAAACCCGGUGAUCUAGCCAUGGGCAGGUUGAAGGUUGGGUAACACUAACUGGAGGACCGAACCGACUAAUGUUGAAAAAUUAGCGGAUGACUUGUGGCUGGGGGUGAAAGGCCAAUCAAACCGGGAGAUAGCUGGUUCUCCCCGAAAGCUAUUUAGGUAGCGCCUCGUGAAUUCAUCUCCGGGGGUAGAGCACUGUUUCGGCAAGGGGGUCAUCCCGACUUACCAACCCGAUGCAAACUGCGAAUACCGGAGAAUGUUAUCACGGGAGACACACGGCGGGUGCUAACGUCCGUCGUGAAGAGGGAAACAACCCAGACCGCCAGCUAAGGUCCCAAAGUCAUGGUUAAGUGGGAAACGAUGUGGGAAGGCCCAGACAGCCAGGAUGUUGGCUUAGAAGCAGCCAUCAUUUAAAGAAAGCGUAAUAGCUCACUGGUCGAGUCGGCCUGCGCGGAAGAUGUAACGGGGCUAAACCAUGCACCGAAGCUGCGGCAGCGACGCUUAUGCGUUGUUGGGUAGGGGAGCGUUCUGUAAGCCUGCGAAGGUGUGCUGUGAGGCAUGCUGGAGGUAUCAGAAGUGCGAAUGCUGACAUAAGUAACGAUAAAGCGGGUGAAAAGCCCGCUCGCCGGAAGACCAAGGGUUCCUGUCCAACGUUAAUCGGGGCAGGGUGAGUCGACCCCUAAGGCGAGGCCGAAAGGCGUAGUCGAUGGGAAACAGGUUAAUAUUCCUGUACUUGGUGUUACUGCGAAGGGGGGACGGAGAAGGCUAUGUUGGCCGGGCGACGGUUGUCCCGGUUUAAGCGUGUAGGCUGGUUUUCCAGGCAAAUCCGGAAAAUCAAGGCUGAGGCGUGAUGACGAGGCACUACGGUGCUGAAGCAACAAAUGCCCUGCUUCCAGGAAAAGCCUCUAAGCAUCAGGUAACAUCAAAUCGUACCCCAAACCGACACAGGUGGUCAGGUAGAGAAUACCAAGGCGCUUGAGAGAACUCGGGUGAAGGAACUAGGCAAAAUGGUGCCGUAACUUCGGGAGAAGGCACGCUGAUAUGUAGGUGAAGCGACUUGCUCGUGGAGCUGAAAUCAGUCGAAGAUACCAGCUGGCUGCAACUGUUUAUUAAAAACACAGCACUGUGCAAACACGAAAGUGGACGUAUACGGUGUGACGCCUGCCCGGUGCCGGAAGGUUAAUUGAUGGGGUCAGCGCAAGCGAAGCUCUUGAUCGAAGCCCCGGUAAACGGCGGCCGUAACUAUAACGGUCCUAAGGUAGCGAAAUUCCUUGUCGGGUAAGUUCCGACCUGCACGAAUGGCGUAAUGAUGGCCAGGCUGUCUCCACCCGAGACUCAGUGAAAUUGAACUCGCUGUGAAGAUGCAGUGUACCCGCGGCAAGACGGAAAGACCCCGUGAACCUUUACUAUAGCUUGACACUGAACAUUGAGCCUUGAUGUGUAGGAUAGGUGGGAGGCUUUGAAGUGUGGACGCCAGUCUGCAUGGAGCCGACCUUGAAAUACCACCCUUUAAUGUUUGAUGUUCUAACGUUGACCCGUAAUCCGGGUUGCGGACAGUGUCUGGUGGGUAGUUUGACUGGGGCGGUCUCCUCCUAAAGAGUAACGGAGGAGCACGAAGGUUGGCUAAUCCUGGUCGGACAUCAGGAGGUUAGUGCAAUGGCAUAAGCCAGCUUGACUGCGAGCGUGACGGCGCGAGCAGGUGCGAAAGCAGGUCAUAGUGAUCCGGUGGUUCUGAAUGGAAGGGCCAUCGCUCAACGGAUAAAAGGUACUCCGGGGAUAACAGGCUGAUACCGCCCAAGAGUUCAUAUCGACGGCGGUGUUUGGCACCUCGAUGUCGGCUCAUCACAUCCUGGGGCUGAAGUAGGUCCCAAGGGUAUGGCUGUUCGCCAUUUAAAGUGGUACGCGAGCUGGGUUUAGAACGUCGUGAGACAGUUCGGUCCCUAUCUGCCGUGGGCGCUGGAGAACUGAGGGGGGCUGCUCCUAGUACGAGAGGACCGGAGUGGACGCAUCACUGGUGUUCGGGUUGUCAUGCCAAUGGCACUGCCCGGUAGCUAAAUGCGGAAGAGAUAAGUGCUGAAAGCAUCUAAGCACGAAACUUGCCCCGAGAUGAGUUCUCCCUGACUCCUUGAGAGUCCUGAAGGAACGUUGAAGACGACGACGUUGAUAGGCCGGGUGUGUAAGCGCAGCGAUGCGUUGAGCUAACCGGUACUAAUGAACCGUGAGGCUUAACCUUACAACGCCGAAG